UACAGAGGGGGCUAGCGUUAUUCGGAAUUAUUGGGCGUAAAGGGCGCGUAGGCGGCCAUGCGUGUCUUCCGUGAAAUCCCUCGGCUUAACUGAGGACGUGCGGAAGAAACUGCAAGGCUCGAGUCCGGGAGAGGGGGGUGGAAUUCCCAGUGUAGCGGUGAAAUGCGUAGAUAUUGGGAGGAACACCGGUGGCGAAGGCGGCCCCCUGGACCGGUACUGACGCUGAGGCGCUAAAGCGUGGGUAGCAAACGGG
This 253-nucleotide ribosomal RNA is filed under the name uncultured bacterium. RNAcentral describes it as "partial 16S ribosomal RNA". It matches the Rfam family "Bacterial small subunit ribosomal RNA", at positions 524 to 776 of the family's 1533-position model. The record is from RNAcentral.